RNAcentral lists this ribosomal RNA (94 nucleotides) under Neogale vison (American mink). The record is from RNAcentral. Lineage: Eukaryota; Metazoa; Chordata; Mammalia; Carnivora; Mustelidae.
GUCUACCGCCAUAUCACCCUGAAUGCACCCAAUCUCAUCUGCUCUCAGAAGCUAAGUAGGGUUAGGCCUGGUUAGUACUUGGAUGGAGUAGUAU